AUGCUGUGCCCAUGGCAGUUUGUGUUCAAAUCUCGUGCUGCCAAGACCCAGUACCCCCAGGAGAAGGAUAUCAACAACAACGUGGAGAAAAAUAGGAAGAUCCAUGGCUCAGAAAAGGAUGAUGCCAAGUUGCACAAUCCGAGCAAGAAGCAGAUGGAGAGGCUGCCUAUCAUAACUUCAGCAAAGCCCAGUGAGGGAGGAGAGAAUCUCCCUUCAAAUGACAUCAAACUUUCAAACCAAGUAUCAGGAUGUCCAAGACAUGUAAGAGUAAGAAACUUGGAAAAUGGAUCCAGCUUUCUUGACACACUACACCUGACUGCAAAAGAGGUUAUCAAUUGCCAGACCAAAGCCUGCCAAGGGUCACUCAUGACCCCAAAGGGCCUGGUGAGAGGUACCAGAGAUGGGCCGGUUCCACUACAGGAUCUUUUACCUCAGGCAAUAGACUUCCUCAAGCAAUACUACAGUUCAUUUAAAGAGCCAAAAAUCAAAGAAGAGCUGGGCCGGCUGGAAGCAGUGACCAAGGAGAUAGAAACAACAGGAACUUACCACCUGACAAAGGAUGAGUUGGCCUUUGCUGCCAAGCAGGCCUGGAGGAAUGCCCCCAGGUGCAUUGGGAGGAUCCAGUGGUCCAACCUGCAGGUGUUUGAUGCACGAGACUGUAAAACAGCCAAGGAAAUGUUUGAGCAUAUCUGUCAUCAUAUUCAGUAUGCCACAAACAAUGGUAAUAUAAGGUCAGCCAUCACGGUGUUCCCGCACAGGACGGACGGGCAGCACGAUUUCCGUGUGUGGAACAGCCAGCUGAUCCGCUACGCUGGCUACCAAAUGUCAGAUGGCUCUGUCCUUGGAGACCCUGCUGCUGUGGAGUUCACUCAGUUGUGCAUUGAACUUGGGUGGAAGCCGAAAUAUGGCCGCUUUGAUGUACUUCCACUUGUUCUCCAAGCAAAUGGCCAAGACCCAGAAAUAUUUGAAUUACCUCCAGAAAUUGUCCUCCAAGUGCCAAUGGAGCAUCCAAAGUACAAGUGGUUUAAGGAGCUGGAGCUGAAGUGGUACGCGCUGCCUGCUGUGGCCAACAUGCUUCUGGAGGCAGGAGGGCUGGAGUUCCCCGCAUGCCCUUUCAAUGGCUGGUACAUGGGGACAGAGAUCGGCGUGCGGGACUUCUGCGACGCGCAGCGCUACAACAUCCUGAAGGAGGUAGGGAGGAGAAUGGGACUGGAAACAAAUAAACUGUCAUCAUUAUGGAAGGACCGAGCUGUUGUAGAGAUCAAUGUGGCUGUGCUUCACAGCUUCCAGAGACAGAAUGUAACCAUCAUGGAUCACCACUCAGCCUCCGAGUCCUUCCUGAAGUACAUGCAGAGCGAGUACCGCGCGCGGGGCGGCUGCCCGGCAGAUUGGGUGUGGAUCGUGCCUCCCAUGUCAGGCAGCAUAACCCCCGUGUUCCACCAAGAGAUGUUGAACUAUGUCCUCACUCCCUUCUAUUACUACCAGGUAGAUGCAUGGAAAACACAUGUAUGGCAUGAUGAGACCCGAAGGCGAAAGAAAAAAGAAAUAAAGUUUAGCAUCUUGGCAAAGGCUGUGCUCUUUGCAUCCUCACUGAUGCGAGGGGCAGUGGCCACCAGGGCCAAGGUCACCGUGAUCUACGCGACAGAAACGGGCAAGUCGGAGACGCUCGCCAACAGCCUGUGCAGCCUGUUCAGCUGUGCCUUCAGCACCAAGAUCCUCUGCAUGGAUGAGUACAAUAUUUGUGACCUGGAAAAAGAAACACUUCUUUUAGUGGUUACUAGCACUUUUGGAAAUGGAGAUUCUCCAGGUAACGGAAAGACCUUGAAGGACUCUUUGCUCAGACUAAAACUGCUGAGAAAUAAAAUUAGGUAUGCUGUGUUUGGUCUGGGGUCCAGCAUGUACCCAGAGUUCUGUGCCUUUGCUCAUGCCAUUGACCAAAAACUGGCCCAACUCGGGGCUUCCCAGCUCACUCCAGUGGGUGAAGGGGAUGAACUCAAUGGGCAAGAAGAAGCUUUCCGCAGCUGGGCAGUCAGUGCUUUCAAGGCUGCCUGUGACAUCUUUAACGUCCGUGGGAGACACAGUAUUCAGUUGCCUAAGAUCUACACCUCUGAGGAAAGGUGGGACCCUACCAAUUACAGGCUAGUGCAUGACUCCCAGCCCAUGGACCUGGCUAAAGCUCUUGCAAACAUUCAUGCCAAGGAUGUAAUUCCCAUGAAGCUGAAAUUUAGGCAGAAUCUUCAAAGUUUGAAGUCCAGUCGUGUCACCAUUCUGGUUAAACUUCAGUGUGAGACAGAUCAGGAAGUGCACUACCUUCCCGGGGAGCACAUCGGGAUUUUCCCAGGCAACCAAGCAGAAUUAGUCCAUGGCAUUAUUGCACAUGUCAAGGAUGCCCCUCCAGCUGAUCAGACUAUCAGGCUUGAAACCUGCAUUGAUGGUGGGUACUGGGCAAGUCACAAAAAGAUUCCAGCCUGCACACUACCUGAGGCUUUGACAUACUUGCUUGAUAUCACUACUCCACCCUCCCAACAACUGCUAAAAAAACUCUCCCAGCUGGUGACAGCAGAAGGAGAUAAGCAAAGGCUGGAGGUGCUGUGUCAGAGCACAGAAGAAUACAAUAAAUGGAAGUUUUACAACAGCCCAAACAUCCUGGAGGUGCUGGAGGAGUUCCCCUCUGCUGAGGUCUCUGCAGCUUUCCUGCUGACUCAGCUGCCACUUCUGAAGCCCAGGUACUAUUCUGUCAGCUCCUCCUGUGACCUGACAGCCAGAGAGAUUCAUCUGACAGUUGCAGUUGUAAACUACAGGACAAGAGAUGGUGAAGGGCCUUUGCACCAUGGAGUCUGCAGCACCUGGCUGAACACAAUAGAGCUCAAUGAAACCGUUCCCUGCUUCAUCCGCAGUGCUAAUGAGUUCCACCUCCCGGAGGAGCCAUCCAAGCCCUGCAUUCUGAUCGGCUCAGGCACGGGGAUUGCUCCCUUCAGGAGCUUCUGGCUGCAGCGCCUCUAUGACCUGGAGCACAGAGGGCUCAGAGGAGGGAACAUGACCCUGCUGUUCGGCUGCCGGCAUCCAGACCUGGAUCACAUCUACAGGGAAGAGACUGAGGAGAUGAAGAGGAAGGGAGUCCUGAGUGAUGUCUACACAGCUUACUCCAGACUGCCUGGCCAAGAGAAAGUGUACGUCCAGGACGUGCUGCAGGGGCAGCUGGCGGCCCGCGUGUGCGAGGUGCUGCAGGGGCAGCAGGGCCAUGUGUACGUGUGCGGGGACGUGCGCAUGGCGCGGGACGUGGCCGGGGCGCUGCGGGCGCUGCUCGCCCGCGCCCUGCGCCUCAGCCAGCAGCAGGCCAGCGAGUUCCUGCAGCAGCUCAAGAGCCAAAAGCGAUACCAUGAAGAUAUAUUUGGGGCUGUGUUCGCACAUGAAGUCAAAAGAGCUUUGCAACCCACCAGCUGAAGAACAAACUAACUUGUGUUUUAGACAAUAUUUGCACAUCCGUUGCUAUUUUCAAAAAACAAAGACUCAAAUCCUCCUUCUUACACUUGUUCAAUCAUGCAUGUGUAUAGGAUUGUGGGAUUUGACUCUUAAACCUCAGCCUUAAUUAUGUAAAAUAUUAAAUUUAACUUUUUUUGCUAUUUAUUCUGACAUUUUAAUACAUUAUCUUAAUAGUGAAAGUGCAAAUUAUUUUUUAAUACCAUCUAUGCUAGUAUAAAUCUGGUCAUUUUUAUACAUACAAGGAAAAUCUACAGUUUUGUACUAACUAGAGCUUGAAAUCUUUUUUUUUAAUGUACUGUUUAUCUUUGUGACCUUAUUUAUAUCAGAUUGGUUUACUUGCAUAUUAUCUUCACUUGAAAGCAGGUGAAUGCAUGGUUGUGUUGCUGGGAGUCGUCUGGCCAUGUGCCUGGAUCUGGAGCAGUGUUUGCAAAUGAAAUAAUAAUGUGCUGGUCCCAAAGUGGCAACUCCUGCUGCAUCCUCCUCAGGAGCUGGAAUUGAUGAAGGCAGAGUUGAGACUCCAAAGUCAGCAGUGCUGUGUGUGAACAGUGUGUUUCACACGUGCUGCAGGACAGCCCUUAGCCACAGGACCUGGAACUCGGCUGGGUUACUGAGGUAGCUGUGCACCCCGCUGGGCUGGGACUGGACUGGGCGUUACAGAUUAACACUUCUGCAGCCUGCUCCAGCAAGUACCUCCCUCCUGACUGAAAGCCCCUGGUGAGCACACAUUGCGGGCAGCAUGCACUGUACAGCACAAAGGGGAAAGAAGGAGAAAAAGCAGCUUUUUGCUUCGGUCCUUUUCCAAAAAGGAAAAGGAGAAAUGUUCUUCAAUAAUCAGUUUCCUGCAAAGAUAUCUUGCUGAUACCCUUCAAAAAUUGGUAAGAAAGACAUUUUCAUUUUAUCAGAUAAUAAGAUACCCUUUUACACCUUGUUUAAGGCACAACCAUGUAUUCACAAACCUACAGCUGCCUGUGAACUGCUGGUCAGCCCCUCCUUGCAGAGUCUGCUGCCAGACAGGGGUGUACCUGGGAAGUUGAACCGCCCGUCCCUCUGGCCCAUGGGGGACGGGUUUGGGGGCGGCGUCGCACUGGGAGGGUUGGAAGAAUGGAAAGGUGCUGGAGAAGAUGGAGUGGAUGAGGUUGUAGAAGAAGGAUUACUGCUGGAGUCCAGGUGGUUUAUUGCUGGUGGAUGCUCCUGCAAAGCAGAGAAAGACACGCGUGAGAGAACGAGAAAGAGGAGCCUCCCCUCAGUGUCUGCUGGACAACAGAUAGAGGGAACUUGUUCACAGGCUUGAUUGUGGCGUUGCCUUUCUGAAUAAACACCUGGAGCUCUGGACAACCCCUGCUUUACCGGGAGAAAAUGUCUCAUAUCCAAGUCUUGCAAAGUGAAAGCUCUCACUCCAACCAGUGAGAUCCAACCUCUCCCUGUUGCAGCUCCCCAGGGACUCUGGACAUGCUUCAGCCAUCUCAUACCUUUUUAGUUAGUGCUUUGGGGAGAGUUCCAAACUGGGGUUCUGUGGGUCUGUCUACUGGAUUAUUGAUAUCAGAUGGGACAGACUCUGUUCUUCUUAUUUUUGUUACUGAAAAACAGGUUGGAGAAGGGAGAAAAACCGCUUUAAUGAGACUUUUUAUUCUUUCCGUACCAUCAAUUAUAUUGAAAUGCCAAGAAUUUGUAGAAAAUUACUUACUGGGAAGGAAGGAUAUUCUACAAGCAGGUGCCUCUUUAGUACAUUUGUUGUGACAUUUUAAUCUGAAAGAUAACCAUUACAUGUUAAAUAGCAACUUGUUCUUUCCAGAAA
Taeniopygia guttata (zebra finch) is the source of this 5278-nucleotide non-coding RNA. Lineage: Eukaryota; Metazoa; Chordata; Aves; Passeriformes; Estrildidae. The record is from RefSeq and is a predicted model, not a curated record.